Molecule: ribosomal RNA, 428 nt
Filed under: uncultured bacterium
Lineage: Bacteria
Description: partial 16S ribosomal RNA
Rfam family: Bacterial small subunit ribosomal RNA
Source: RNAcentral
GUGGGGAAUAUUGGGCAAUGGGCGCAAGCCUGACCCAGCAACGCCGCGUGAAGGAAGAAGGCUUUCGGGUUGUAAACUUCUUUUACCAGGGACGAAACAAAUGACGGUACCUGGUGAAUAAGCCACGGCUAACUACGUGCCAGCAGCCGUGGUAAUACGUAGGUGGCGAGCGUUAUCCGGAUUUAUUGGGUGUAAAGGGCGUGUAGGCGGGACAGCAAGUCAGAUGUGAAAACCAGAGGCUCAACCUCUGGCCUGCAUUUGAAACUGUUGUUCUUGAGUGGCGGAGAGGUAAUCGGAAUUCCGUGUGUAGCGGUGAAAUGCGUAGAUAUACGGAGGAACACCAGUGGCGAAGGCGGAUUACUGGACGAUAACUGACGCUGAGGCGCGAAAGCGUGGGGAGCAAACAGGAUUAGAUACCCCGGUAGUCC